GGGCCCUUAGCUCAGUGGUCAGAGCGGGCGACUCAUAAUCGCUUGGUCGCAGGUUCGAUCCCUGCAGGGCCCA
Molecule: transfer RNA, 73 nt
Filed under: Planctomycetota bacterium
Lineage: Bacteria; Pseudomonadati; Planctomycetota
Description: tRNA-Ile
Rfam family: tRNA
About the family: Transfer RNA (tRNA) molecules are approximately 80 nucleotides in length.
Source: RNAcentral